This 497-nucleotide ribosomal RNA is filed under the name uncultured bacterium. Its description in RNAcentral is "partial 16S ribosomal RNA". It matches the Rfam family "Bacterial small subunit ribosomal RNA", at positions 28 to 507 of the family's 1533-position model. The record is from RNAcentral.
GAUGAACGCUGGCGGCGUGCCUAAUACAUGCGAGUCGAGCGAACAGACGAGGAGCUUGCUCCUCUGACGUUAGCGGCGGACGGGUGAGUAACACGUGGAUAACCUACCUAUAAGACUGGGAUAACUUCGGGAAACCGGAGCUAAUACCGGAUAAUAUAUUGAACCGCAUGGUUCAAUAGUGAAAGACGGUUUUGCUGUCACUUAUAGAUGGAUCCGCGCCGCAUUAGCUAGUUGGUAAGGUAACGGCUUACCAAGGCAACGAUGCGUAGCCGACCUGAGAGGGUGGUCGGCCACACUGGAACUGAGACACGGUCCAGACUCCUACGGGAGGCAGCAGUAGGGAAUCUUCCGCAAUGGGCGAAAGCCUGACGGAGCAACGCCGCGUGAGUGAUGAAGGUCUUCGGAUCGUAAAACUCUGUUAUUAGGGAAGAACAAAUGUGUAAGUAACUAUGCACGUCUUGACGGUACCUAAUCAGAAAGCCACGGCUAACUACGUG